CAGCCGCCACGGGAACACGAAGGGUGCAAGCGUUACUCGGAAUUACUGGGCGUAAAGCGUGCGUAGGUGGUGGUUUAAGUCCGUUGUGAAAGCCCUGGGCUCAACCUGGGAAUUGCAGUGGAUACUGGGUCACUAGAGUGUGGUAGAGGAUAGUGGAAUUUCCUGUGUAGCAGUGAAAUGCGUAGAGAUCGGAAGGAACAUCUGUGGCGAAGGCGACUAUCUGGGCCAACACUGACACUGAGGCACGAAAGCGUGGGGAGCAAACAGGAUUAGAUACCCCGGUAGUCCCUGUCUCUUAUAC
This 301-nucleotide ribosomal RNA is filed under the name uncultured bacterium. Its description in RNAcentral is "partial 16S ribosomal RNA". It matches the Rfam family "Bacterial small subunit ribosomal RNA", at positions 509 to 807 of the family's 1533-position model. The record is from RNAcentral.